CUUCUUGCGAACAGUUAGAAGGAUUGACGGUACCGGAAUAGAAAGCCACGGCUAACUACGUGCCAGCAGCCGCGGUAAUACGUAGGUGGCAAGCGUUGUCCGGAAUUAUUGGGCGUAAAGCGCGCGCAGGCGGAUCAGUCAGUCUGUCUUAAAAGUUCGGGGCUUAACCCCGUGAUGGGAUGGAAACUGCUGAUCUAGAGUAUCGGAGAGGGAAGUGGAAUUCCUAGUGUAGCGGUGAAAUGCGUAGAUAUUAGGAAGAACACCAGUGGCGAAGGCGACUUUCUGGACGAAAACUGACGCUGAGGCGCGAAAGCCAGGGGAGCGAACGGGAUUAGAUACCCCGGUAGUCCUGGCCGUAAACGAUGGGUACUAGGUGUAGGAGGUAUCGACCCCUUCUGUGCCGGAGUUAACGCAAUAAGUACCCCGCCUGGGGAGUACGACCGCAAGGUUGAAACUCAAAGGAAUUGACGGGGGCCCGCACAAGCGGUGGAGUAUGUGGUUUAAUUCGACGCAACGCGAAGAACCUUACCAGGGCUUGACAUUGAG
Molecule: ribosomal RNA, 546 nt
Filed under: Veillonella parvula
Lineage: Bacteria; Bacillati; Bacillota; Negativicutes; Veillonellales; Veillonellaceae
Description: bacterial SSU rRNA
Rfam family: Bacterial small subunit ribosomal RNA
Source: RNAcentral